UGAACGCUGGCGGCAGGCUUAACACAUGCAAGUCGAGCGGAGAUGAGGUGCUUGCACCUUAUCUUAGCGGCGGACGGGUGAGUAAUGCUUAGGAAUCUGCCUAUUAGUGGGGGACAACAUUCCGAAAGGAAUGCUAAUACCGCAUACGUCCUACGGGAGAAAGCAGGGGAUCUUCGGACCUUGCGCUAAUAGAUGAGCCUAAGUCGGAUUAGCUAGUUGGUGGGGUAAAGGCCUACCAAGGCGACGAUCUGUAGCGGGUCUGAGAGGAUGAUCCGCCACACUGGGACUGAGACACGGCCCAGACUCCUACGGGAGGCAGCAGUGGGGAAUAUUGGACAAUGGGGGGAACCCAGAUCCAGCCAUGCCGCGUGUGUGAAGAAGGCCUUAUGGUUGUAAAGCACUUUAAGCGGGGAGGAGGCUACUGAGACUAAUACUCUUGGAUAGUGGACGUUACUCGCAGAAUAAGCACCGGCUAACUCUGUGCCAGCCGCCGCGGUAA
RNAcentral lists this ribosomal RNA (499 nucleotides) under uncultured Pseudomonadales bacterium. RNAcentral's name for it is "bacterial SSU rRNA". It matches the Rfam family "Bacterial small subunit ribosomal RNA", at positions 30 to 523 of the family's 1533-position model. Lineage: Bacteria; Pseudomonadati; Pseudomonadota; Gammaproteobacteria; Pseudomonadales. The record is from RNAcentral.